RNAcentral lists this ribosomal RNA (253 nucleotides) under uncultured bacterium. RNAcentral's name for it is "partial 16S ribosomal RNA". It matches the Rfam family "Bacterial small subunit ribosomal RNA", at positions 524 to 776 of the family's 1533-position model. The record is from RNAcentral.
UACGGAGGGUGCAAGCGUUAUCCGGAAUCACUGGGUUUAAAGGGUGCGUAGGCGGCUUCAUAAGUCAGGGGUGAAAGCUUAUCGCUUAACGAUAGAAUUGCCUUUGAUACUGUAAAGCUUGAAAGGGGUUGAGGUCAGCAGAAUGUGGCAUGUAGCGGUGAAAUGCAUAGAUAUGCCAUAGAACACCGAUUGCGAAGGCAGCAGGCUGGGCUGACUUUGACGCUGAGGCACGAAAGCGUGGGGAGCGAACAGG